Molecule: ribosomal RNA, 634 nt
Filed under: uncultured bacterium
Lineage: Bacteria
Description: bacterial SSU rRNA
Rfam family: Bacterial small subunit ribosomal RNA
Source: RNAcentral
UGCUUAACACAUGCAAGUCGAACGUUGAUCCGGUGCUUGCACCGGGGCUUAGUGGCGAACGGGUGAGUAACACGUGAGUAACCUGCCCUUAACUCUGGGAUAAGCCUGGGAAACUGGGUCUAAUACCGGAUAUGACUCCUCAUCGCAUGGUGGGGGGUGGAAAGCUUUUGUGGUUUUGGAUGGACUCGCGGCCUAUCAGCUUGUUGGUGAGGUAAUGGCUCACCAAGGCGACGACGGGUAGCCGGCCUGAGAGGGUGACCGGCCACACUGGGACUGAGACACGGCCCAGACUCCUACGGGAGGCAGCAGUGGGGAAUAUUGCACAAUGGGCGGAAUUCCUGAUGCAGCGACGCCGCGUGAGGGAUGACGGCCUUCGGGUUGUAAACCUCUUUCAGUAGGGAAGAAGCGAGAGUGACGGUACCUGCAGAAGAAGCGCCGGCUAACUACGUGCCAGCAGCCGCGGUAAUACGUAGGGCGCAAGCGUUAUCCGGAAUUAUUGGGCGUAAAGAGCUCGUAGGCGGUUUGUCGCGUCUGCCGUGAAAGUCCGGGGCUCAACUCCGGAUCUGCGGUGGGUACGGGCAGACUAGAGUGAUGUAGGGGAGACUGGAAUUCCUGGUGUAGCGGUGAAAUGCGC